RNAcentral lists this ribosomal RNA (305 nucleotides) under uncultured bacterium. Its description in RNAcentral is "bacterial SSU rRNA". It matches the Rfam family "Bacterial small subunit ribosomal RNA", at positions 337 to 659 of the family's 1533-position model. The record is from RNAcentral.
GCCUACGGGGGGCAGCAGUGGGGGAUAUUGCACAAUGGGGGGAACCCUGAUGCAGCGACGCCGCGUGGGCGAUGGAGCGCCUCGGCGCGUAAAGCCCUAUCAGCAGGGAAGAAGAUGACGGUACCUGACUAAGAAGCCCCGGCUAAAUACGUGCCAGCAGCCGCGGUAAUACGUAUGGGGCAAGCGUUAUCCGGAUUUACUAGGUGUAAAGGGAGCGUAGACGGCUGUGCAAGUCUGAAGUGAAAUGCCGGGGCUCAACCCCGGAACUGCUUUGGAAACUGUACAGCUAGAGUGCAGGAGGGGUG